This is a long non-coding RNA of Neofelis nebulosa (Clouded leopard), 3144 nucleotides long. RefSeq lists it as uncharacterized. The transcript is spliced from 2 exons. The record is from RefSeq and is a predicted model, not a curated record. NCBI's taxonomy places the organism in Eukaryota, Metazoa, Chordata, Mammalia, Carnivora, Felidae.
UGGAAGUACGGUGGAAGAUAAAGCAGUGUAAGUAGUUUGCGGCUUUGUUCUGGAGGACCAGCCUAAAUACCAUGUGACAAUCCUUGAAUGUUUUUGAACAGCACCAUGACAUGGUGAAAAUCAAGUUUCAGAAAUAAUUAUUUGAUAAGAAUGUGGAAAAUAACUAUUUUCUUUCAACAAGAUAUGUUGACUACCUACCGUUUGCUAGGUAUGUGCCAGGCACUGAGGUUACAAAGCUAAGGAAAGCAGUUUCUGCCUUUGGAAGUAACUACUCUGUAGAAAAAGAUAUAUUAAGAGAAAAAAAAAUUUUUUUUAAUUUAGGUAAGUGCAGUGAUAAUGAUGUAGCUGAGAUGCUAUUAGAUCAUAGAGGAAGGGAACUUAACCUACAUAGGAAUUCUUGAGAAGGUUUUCUGGUGGAUGUGAUACCUUAAUAGCAUCUCAGAAAAUGAAGGAAUGUAGUAACAAAUUUGGAAGAGCAUUCCAGGCAGAGGGAACAGUAAAACAAAGACAUAGAAACAGAGGCAAACAUGUUAGGUUCAUACCACUAUGGGCACAUCUAGUUUGCUGUGUUCUAAAGCAAAGAGUAGUGUUUGAAGUUAACAAGGACUUUGUAUGCCUUUCUUGUGUUCAAGGUGAGAAACGCUGCAGGCCUGAACGAGGGAAUUUGUGGUAAGGAUGGUGAGAAAGGGGUAGUUUCUCUUAGAAAACGAAGGGGUAAAAUCAUUAGAACUAAGUGAUUGGAUUUGGGGGAUGAGGAUAAAAGAGGAGCCCCAAAUUGUUCUUAGAUUUCUGCCUGGUAUUCAGGUAGAUUAGUAGCACCAUUAACUGAGAAUGGACAGGAGAGAGUAGCAAAUCGGGAGUGAAUGCAGCGUUGGACAUUUUGACAUCCAGGUCCAGCAGACCUUAAGAUAUACAUCUUAAUAUCUUAACAUACAAUAUAAUAUCUAUAGUGUCUUAAAUAUAUCUGAAGCAUGGGAGAGUUCAGAAUUAGAGACUUUUGGGGUCAGCUGCCCUGAGUGUCGUUUUAACCACAAGUGUGCAUCAAGCCAUGUCGGUGGUUCUUUGAAGCAGAAUGAAAAUGGUACAUAGAGGAACAGUAGUGUUUAACCAGUGGUAGAGGAAGUCUUACAAAGCAGACUGAUCAUAACUUGUCAAAAGCAAGACAGCCACGAGUAGUAUCACAGAACUCAAGAGAAGAUUUUAUGUUCAAAAUGAAUAAUAUCAAAUGUUCUAGUGGAGGCUAAUUAAAUAUGUACUGAAACCUUGACAGUAGAUAUGACAAUUUGGUGAUCUUUUUUGUUCUCAGGAAAAAGGGAAGGAGUCAGGGCAUAGCUAGAGAGGUACACAGAAUUGAAGAAAGGAUUUUGAUAAAAAUGAAGACUGAGCAUGUUUAUAUACUGAAGGUGACAGCAGCUAACGUUUAUUGAAGACGUACUGGAUUCCAGGCCGUCUUCUAAGGGUUUCAUGUAUUAACUCAUUUAUUCCUCACAGUAACCCUAUAAAGUAGAUACUCUUUUCCUCAUUUUCCUAAAGAGGAGAGUUAACCACAGAGAGAUUGUCACAUGGCUGACAACUGGUAAAAGAGCAGAAUCAGAAUUUGAACCCUGGGGUUCUGACACAAUAGGCCAGUUAUUUACCAAUAUCCUAUACUGCCUCCAUAGAACUGUAGAGAUUGUAGACAUGGAGAAGAGUGGUAAUUAAUGGAUUAAGAUCAGAAAAGACUGGAGGGGAUAAAGUCAGGAACAUUGGUGAGAGUUUUGGUCUUGAACAGGAGUGAGGAUAUUUAAUUCUUGAAGACCAGAAACCAGGCCUACAGGUGGAGGUGGUAAGUUUGGGGAUGGGAUGAGACAAUUGUCAAGUUUAAGAAUUUAAUCACAUCAAACUUUUCCCAUCAAAUACGUAGCUAUUUAUUAAAUUUAUACCUUGUUAUUAUAAAACAUAAACACAGAUAUGGAAAACUGCUGAGAAAUAAAUGUAUAGCUUAUCAUGAACUAUUACAAGAUAUAACCAUCACCCAGGUAAAAGAAAUCAUCAGCCAAUCCAGAAACUCUCUUUGUGUUCCAUUCCAGUUAAAACCCUCUUUAUCUCUCGCAGUGUUAACCAAUAUCUUAACAUUUAUGGCAAUGAGGUUUUUGUUUUUCUUACAGUUUUAGCAGAUGUGGGCAUUUCUAAACUCCACAUUUAAGUGUUUCCUUUUUUACUCUUUUGUCCUUUGAAUCUCAACCUACAGAUUCCUCCUCAGUCUUUUUUCCUUGUCACGAAUUUGAUGAAGAAACCAGGUUUCCACCUGUUGAAUUUCCCAGAGUCUGGAUUUUGCUGAUUGAAUAUCUAUGGACUGGUGUUUCUGAAGAUACCAUUGCAGAUACCUAUUUGGCAAGUGUGUGUUCUACCAAUAUAGGCCCUACCCAAGUUCCCUGAAGAACUCCCACUAACACCUACCCUCAUCCACCUUCUUCACAUGUUUUCUCGCAAGAAGAUGCCAGGUCUUCGUGAGAUCUGGAGGUUAAGGGCGUGGGGCUCUUUGCCUGGAUGAAAUGCUGGUGAAUCUACCUUCUCCUACUACUCUGUUCAACUUCUUUCCCUGCAAGAGAGUGAGCAGUCAUCCCUUGCCCCCAGGCAAGCCUCGUGUGGAUAUCCUUAGUAGAGCACAGUCGGUCUGCAGGUUCCCUUGCCAAGGAAUCCUGUCCUUUCUAAUCAUCAAGACCUGUACUAAAGGCUCCGAGAGAGCCCAGACAGCUGAUGUGUGAGAGCAGGAGCAGGCCUGCAUGGACUUCCUCAUCACUGUGGCCAUCAAUGCGCACAAAGGCAUUCCACUGGCUUCUGAGUCUAGAUCUAUAAAUAUAUUUAUUAUAAUAUAACAAGAACUUAACAAUAAACAUAUACUAUGUACAAUACCAUUACAGAGAACCCUGUUUUGUAUCAUUCACAGAAAUAGCCAGUGUUGCUCCAGUGUGAUAGAUGAGGAGAGAAGCGGAAUUUCAAUGUCGUCUGUGUUGAGUCUCGCUGACCACUAACGCCUCCUUUGGAGGCAGACGCACGCCAACGCUAACAUCGGCCCUGCCCCAGGCAGUUAGAGAUUUGUGCUCCGGUCCUUGGGUUCACACUUGCACCCUGUUUGACAUAAAUACUUUAAAUGACAUACAA